UAGUUGCUUAGUGUUGGGAAUCUGCCCUGUAUUUAUAGGGCAGUUCCUUAAAGUGAUCGGCGGAGUUAGGGCAUACUCUAAGCGUAGUAAUAUUCUUCUCGCUUCUGUAGUUGUCCUGGCGGCUUGCCGUUAAACCCCUAUAUUUCUAGUGGUUGACCUCGGAUUAGGUAGGAAUACCCGCUGAACUUAAGCAUAUCAAUAAGCGGAGGAAAAGAAACCAACAGGGAUUGCCCUAGUAACGGCGAGUGAAGCGGCAACAGCUCAAAUUUGAAAUCUGGCCCUAGCGGUCCGAGUUGUAAUUUGUAGAGGAUGCUUUUGGUUAGGUGCCUUCUGAGUUCCCUGGAACGGGACGCCAGAGAGGGUGAGAGCCCCGUACGGUUGGACACCGAGCCUCUAUAUAGCUCCUUCGACGAGUCGAGUAGUUUGGGAAUGCUGCUCUAAAUGGGAGGUAAAUUUCUUCUAAAGCUAAAUACCGGCCAGAGACCGAUAGCGCACAAGUAGAGUGAUCGAAAGAUGAAAAGUACUUUGAAAAGAGGGUUAAAUAGCACGUGAAAUUGUUGAAAGGGAAGCGUUUGCGACCAGACUUUUUCCAGGCGGAUCAUCCGGUGUUCUCACCGGUGCACUUCGCCUGGUUCAGGCCAGCAUCGGUUCUCUUAGGGGGAUAAAGGCCUGGGGAACGUAGCUCCUUCGGGAGUGUUAUAGCCCCUAGCGUAAUACCCUUCGGGGGACCGAGGAACGCGCA
This 742-nucleotide ribosomal RNA is filed under the name Sordariomycetes sp. genotype 10. RNAcentral's name for it is "eukaryotic LSU rRNA". The stretch from base 154 to 742 matches the Rfam family "Eukaryotic large subunit ribosomal RNA", at positions 1 to 599 of the family's 3401-position model. Lineage: Eukaryota; Fungi; Ascomycota; Sordariomycetes. The record is from RNAcentral.